Molecule: ribosomal RNA, 264 nt
Filed under: Salmonella enterica
Lineage: Bacteria; Pseudomonadati; Pseudomonadota; Gammaproteobacteria; Enterobacterales; Enterobacteriaceae
Also listed under: 7 other names
Description: partial 23S ribosomal RNA
Rfam family: Bacterial large subunit ribosomal RNA
Source: RNAcentral
UCCUCCAAGGCUAAAUACUCCUGACUGACCGAUAGUGAACCAGUACCGUGAGGGAAAGGCGAAAAGAACCCCGGCGAGGGGAGUGAAAAAGAACCUGAAACCGUGUACGUACAAGCAGUGGGAGCACCCUUUGGGGUGUGACUGCGUACCUUUUGUAUAAUGGGUCAGCGACUUAUAUUCUGUAGCAAGGUUAACCGAAUAGGGGAGCCGGAGGGAAACCGAGUCUUAAUUGGGCGUUAAGUUGCAGGGUAUAGACCCGAAACC